AAAGCUGAAAGCGUGCGAGGGGGGUGGGGUGGAAAUAGCGGCUGCUUCUUUUCCAAGGACUUAUUUAAUGGGGAUGUGUUCAAGGCAAGACCGAAUUCAGAAGGAUAUCGACGUCGUGAUCCAGAAGUCCAGAGCUGAGGACUGCCUGUUUGCAGAUUUCAGAUACUCAGACUCCACCUUUACUUUUACCUAUGUUGGCGGCCCCAGAAG
RNAcentral lists this long non-coding RNA (210 nucleotides) under Homo sapiens (human). Its description in RNAcentral is "non-protein coding lnc-SEC22B-2:1". The record is from RNAcentral. Lineage: Eukaryota; Metazoa; Chordata; Mammalia; Primates; Hominidae.